Molecule: ribosomal RNA, 305 nt
Filed under: uncultured bacterium
Lineage: Bacteria
Description: partial 16S ribosomal RNA
Rfam family: Bacterial small subunit ribosomal RNA
Source: RNAcentral
ACAGCAGUCGCCGCGGGAAUACGGAGGGUGCAAGCGUUAUCCGGAUUUAUUGGGUUUAAAGGGUCCGUAGGCGGAUCUGUAAGUCAGUGGUGAAAUCUCACAGCUUAACUGUGAAACUGCCAUUGAUACUGCAGGUCUUGAGUAAAUUUGAAGUGGCUGGAAUAAGUAGUGUAGCGGUGAAAUGCAUAGAUAUUACUUAGAACACCAAUUGCUAAGGCAGGUCACUAAGAUUUAACUGACGCUGAUGGACGAAAGCGUGGGGAGCGAACAGGAUUAGAGACCCGCGUAGUCCCUGUCUCUUAUAC